GCGUGCAGUAUGGAGACUACUGGAUCUGGCAAAGUCCAGCAGAAAGGGUUUCUACAGGCCUUCUACUCCAACCUUGGCCCCAUUUUACAGAUGCGGAAACAAAGGCCCAGAGGAGGGGAAGGACACUCGCUCAGGGGCACAAGGGCAGAAAGUGGCCGGCCGACUUGGAACUGGAACCCCACAGCCAGGGCUCCCCUCUCUGCAUCACCUGAACGCUGAAGGGAGAGGCAGCUAUGUGGGGACAGACGACGGGAAGCUGCCAGAGACGUUGGUGGUGGGCAACCGCGGGUGAGAUGGUGCCACUGAGGUUUCUGGUCCUUUCUAAUCUCUGCUCCCUUUGCAGGGUUUCCUUUCUCUGAAACUGAAGCUUCCUCCCCUCCUGAAACCAGCGGGAAACCAACCUCUACCCUCUUUGCCAGAGCCUUGGUUUUGGGCGAUUUGCAGGAAUCCUGCGAAAGUGACCCAUCCAGCCAGUGUCCGCGGCAGGGCAGGGACUCUCCGCCUCCCGUUCACCACCCACCACAUCCGGGUGUCAUUGGCUUCCUGCCAAGGCGGCUGGGCCCUUCGGGGACCCUUGGCAUCCCCAAGCCUGUCCUCUGCGCCGCCUUCCCUCUGGAUCUCCUACCCUGAUCCUCCACCCUGGGAGAAGGCAGGCACACAGACAGUUUCCCACCAGGGAGGAAUAAGUUCUCCCCAGAUGCCUGACCAGAUAACACGCCCUUUGCCCAUUGCUGCCGUUGUCCAGCUGGCAGGAACAGAGGGGAAGUGCCAGUCUCAUGAUAAAAUAUAAAUUCCAGUUCCUGGAUAUAGAAGCAGAAGCAGGCUGGGCAAGGAGGGCACUACUUUCUCACUAUUGGGGAUCUGGCCCUGGCGCCUCUCUCAUUUUCCCGCUGAAGUGGUCUAAUUUGGCACUCAAACGUGGAUGUUUGUGCACUCAUGUACAUGUCUUUUAUAUUUAACAAAUAUAAUCGAGCUUUCUUUGUACCAAGCACUGUGCCAGGCUUAGGAUGAGACACCAUCAUUGCCCUAAGGACACACAGUCUAGUUUGGGGGGCAAAGAAGGAAGACAGAUAUAGAAACGGACGUUAUAAGCUAGUAUUUCCUGUGUGUAGUGUGUCCAGAGGUGCACACCCAGGAUUUGGUGGGUUGUGGAGAAAGUGCCCUGUUCUGCCUGGGGUGGGAUGGGGAUCAUGGAGGCUUCUGGGGAGAAGGGACACAGGGGCUGGGUGAGUCAUCUAACAGACAGAUGUGUGCUGGAGUGGGGACGCAUUCAAGAGACUGGAUUUCAGAUGGGGGGAAAUCCGUAGGAGGAAAGUCACAAGGACCAGCACCAGCUGGGUGAGUGGGACACACACGCUGGUUCUAGCCUGAGCCUUAGACUUGGGGAAGAGAGAGACCUGUGGCUCUGUGAAUGCCUGGAAGCCCCCAGGAGGGGUUUAUGCUGGGGAAUGUCUUAUCAAAUUUGAUUCGUGGUGCCCACACCAGCGGCUAGACACCUCCCCUCUGGCCCCUGGGUACUCCUAAGGGCCACGGCUGAGUUGGUUUAUUGCCAUGGCCUGAGACUCUGUCUGGCGCAUUGUAGGAGCUGAAUGGAUGGGUCUGAGGAGACAGAUUCAGAGGAACCAGUGCCCACUACUUCCGUGCUUAUGUUCUCCCACCUCUUCACCCUUGGGUGAGGCUUCUCUGAUCUGCUCUUAAAUGAACUUCCAGAAAGGGCAUGUCUGGGGGUUGGCAUGGCUGCCUGCGGAUGGGUUGGAUGGAGAAGAUGAAGGCAAGGAAAUGAGAUAGUAUGGUCAUUCACUCAUCACCUUUAAGCAAGCCCUAAAACGUGCAAAGCACCAACAUGAGUACCAGCCGUGUGUGUGUGUGUGUGUGUGUGUGUGUGUGUGUGUGUGUGUUGGGUUACAGCAGACAGAAAAGAGAGCUAGGGAUAACACAAAGGAAAAUAAGAUAGAGCUUGUUUACUCAGAGAGUAAACAGAUGUCUUUUUGAGUAUAUACUAUGCUAGCUACCGAGGGUACAAAAGCCAACAACCAAGACCUCACUCAAAUAACUAUCUUAUAGCAUGAAAGCUGGUCACUGCCAAAGACAGCCCCCAAACACGGCCAUCUAGAGGAAGGAGUGAGUGCUUCUCAUUGUGGAGAGCAGGGAAGGCUUCUGGAAGAGGUGUCUUUUGCCUUAGGCCCUGAAGGGUGGAUCACAUUUGGACCAAAGGAGAUCCAGGAGAGAAUUUUGGUGGAGGGAGCAGCUUGUACAAGAACGUGAAGGUGGGAGAGGUUGGGGCUCCUGUGUGGGAAUAGUGAGCAGUGCAGGGUUGUUUUGUUUUGUUUCGUUUUGCAUUCUGGGGUUGUGUAAGAGAAAGGGACAGGAAAAUGCAGCCAGAAUGCAAAAGGUCUGAAAGAUGCCCUUCAGGGACAUGAGGAAGCAGGACUAAGUGUCAGGAGACUAGGCUCUGGUCCCUUCUCUUAAGCAGGAAGCCUGGGACUCAUUGUUGCUGCUUUUUCAACCACCAUAUUCUAAUCCAAAAGCAAACACUGUUCAUUCUGCUUCCAAUAUGAAGUCUAGUGAUUGCUCCGUUUCUGCUAUUAGCCUGCUAUCCACAUGCUCAUAAUUUCUGCCCAAUCGCUGUGACACCCCCACCCCCGCUGCCCCGGCCUGUAGAGCCAGUACACACUGAAGGGAAGGAGUGAAAUGUGAUGGUCGAGCACUUGGGACUCUGGAGCUAGACUGCCUGAAUCCUUAAACCGUCCCCCUCUGCUGCCUUGUAGCUGUGUGUCCUUGGUCAAGUCACUUAACCUCUCUGUGCUCAAGGUCCUCAUCUGUAAAAUGAAGGGGAAGAGUAGCCCCUACUUUGUGGGGUUGUGAGGAGUCAAUGAGUUGAACAACUGGAAGCACUUUGGAGCAUGUCUGGUGUAUACGCAGAACUGUGUAAGUGUUAGUCAUCUCUCUAACCAUAACCUCUCUCCCCACAUCCAGUUUUGCUCUUCUCUGCCGUGGUGCCAUCUGAAUCUUUACAGCCUUUGUUUUGAGUUGACUCUCCAUCAACACGGAGGUUGGGGUACCAGCUUCCCACAUGGUUGAACAUCUGAAUCCAGAUUUAACUACUGAUAGCCUAACAACUGAUGGCCUACUGUUGACUAGAAGCCUUAUGGAUAACGUAAGCAGUCGGUUAACACAUUUUGUAUGUUCUACGUAUCAUAUGCUGGAUUCUUAUGAUCAGUUAGGGAAGAGAAGAUGUUAUUAAGAAAAUCAUAAGGAAAAGGAGCUACAUUUACAGAACCGGACUGUAUUUAUUGAAAAAAAAAUCCAUGUGUAAGUGGACCAGUGUAGUUCAAACCCAUGAUUUUCACGGGUCGACUGUAGUUGCAUGAUUUCAGAACUCUGUGAUUUAUUUUUUCUGCAGGCUGCAGUGAGCCAUGGAGGGUCUCUGAACAGAGAAGCACUUACUGGGGGCUGCUGGAGCUGUGCUCUCUGGAGAUGAAUCUGGCAAUAUUGCGGACUGAAGCCUCGGGGCCCUGUAUGGGCGUUGCUGGCCGUGGGGUUCUUGCCCUGGUGCGGAGAGGGGCCUGCAGGAACUCCGCCUUCCCUCCUGGCUCCGAGGCUUGUUGACGGUAGGAAUGAUAGCCCACUCAAAGGACAAGCAGGUGGACUCACCUUUGUCACCUCUCCCCUGGCUGGGGGCUGUGACCAGACAGAGAUCGGGCCUGAGGAAGGUGUCACCCACAAGAAAGCAUCCCAAAGCCCUCCCUCAGCUUCCACGGGCUCUUUCAGAGAGGCAGCUGUUGGGUUUGGACAAGACCCAAAGUCAAUACAAUAAUGACUUCCCUUCCCGGCCAUAUUCCAGGCCCCUCUGUGUCAUUUAGUAAUUGGCUAAUAAAGCAUACUUUGAUGUGAGGGGGAGCCCUAUUAAGAAGUCCCCAAGAUCCCCCCAUACCCGGAAAUCUGCUGAUAGAAGAUAAACUCGAACAUAUAUUAAAAUGGUAUGCCGAAAGGGGGGUCACCCUUUCCUCUGAGCCUGGUCCCCAGCCGAGGGUCAAUGGAGGCCGAGGGCAAGGGGAGAGGAGAGGAAGAGGAACUCUCUAGAGAAAGUAUGGCCAAGCCCUAG
This is a long non-coding RNA of Mustela erminea (ermine), 4105 nucleotides long. RefSeq lists it as uncharacterized. The record is from RefSeq and is a predicted model, not a curated record. NCBI's taxonomy places the organism in Eukaryota, Metazoa, Chordata, Mammalia, Carnivora, Mustelidae. The transcript is spliced from 3 exons.